AUUGAACGCUGGCGGAAUGCUUUACACAUGCAAGUCGAACGGCAGCACGGACUCCGGUCUGGUGGCGAGUGGCGAACGGGUGAGUAAUACAUCGGAACGUGCCCAGUCGUGGGGGAUAACGUAGCGAAAGCUACGCUAAUACCGCAUACGAUCUAAGGAUGAAAGCGGGGGAUCGCAAGACCUCGCGCGAUUGGAGCGGCCGAUGGCAGAUUAGGUAGUUGGUGGGGUAAAGGCUCACCAAGCCGACGAUCUGUAGCUGGUCUGAGAGGACGACCAGCCAAACUGGGACUGAGACACUGCCCAGACUCCUACGGGAGGCAGCAGUGGGGAAUUUUGGACAAUGGGCGCAAGCCUGAUUCAGCCAUUCCGCGUGCAGGAUGAAGGCCCUCGGGUUGUAAACUGCUUUUGUACGGAACGAAAAGGCUCUGGUUAAUACCCGGGGCUCAUGACGGUACCGUAAGAAUAAGCACCGGCUAACUACGUGCCAGCCGCCGCAGUAA
This 500-nucleotide ribosomal RNA is filed under the name uncultured bacterium. Its description in RNAcentral is "partial 16S ribosomal RNA". It matches the Rfam family "Bacterial small subunit ribosomal RNA", at positions 30 to 523 of the family's 1533-position model. The record is from RNAcentral.